Long non-coding RNA from Pipistrellus kuhlii (Kuhl's pipistrelle), 393 nucleotides. RefSeq lists it as uncharacterized. The record is from RefSeq and is a predicted model, not a curated record. The transcript is spliced from 2 exons. NCBI's taxonomy places the organism in Eukaryota, Metazoa, Chordata, Mammalia, Chiroptera, Vespertilionidae.
CCUCUCUUAAUGGCAAAAUGGAGGUCAUGUUCUCAUGUUCCUAUUUGAAAUAAUGGUUAGUAUUUUUCAUAGCGAUUGCUUAUAACUUGUUGCCAGAUUCUUUUAAAAAAUGCAGAUAGAAAAAUUGGAGCUAAAAUAUUUCAAUUUAUUUGAUUUUAGUCCUCAUAUAUACAAAACCACAUUUUAAUUGGUAUCCUCAAUAUUUCUUUCAUAAGCCUUUGAUUAAAGUUGGUAAUAAGCUUCAAGAAAUAUUUAAUUAACUUGUAUUGACCACAUGUAUUAAAUUCACCUUCUUUCUAAAAUCUCUCCAGAUAGAUAGUAUUCAAGUAUAAAAACCCAAGCAAAGAGGAAAGAAAAAAAAAACGUAGACGUGUUUUUCAGUAGAUUGUUGAA